This 804-nucleotide long non-coding RNA is filed under the name Homo sapiens (human). Its description in RNAcentral is "HSALNT0233159". The record is from RNAcentral. Lineage: Eukaryota; Metazoa; Chordata; Mammalia; Primates; Hominidae.
AAGCACUGGGAGAGAGGAUGUGAUGACUGAGGUGAAGAUCCUCAUCUGGAAGGGCAUUAGUCUUGGGCAGAAAAGGAGAAAUAACCAGUUGGUUAGAGACAAGUCCUUUGAAUGGGUUAAUUUAUCGAGUCAGCAAGGUGGCCAGAUCUAAUUUGCUUUUUGCAAAAUUAGGUAGUUGUUAGAACUACUUGAGUUACCCAAGAGUGCCAAGAUCCUCUUUGUUUGUUGUUCAUUCUCUUUGUUAAGCCGUGGCAUCCUGCUCAUCAUCAGUGAGUAUAAGAAUGUGAAGAAGACCACCUGGGCAGGAGAAUCACAGAACAUCGUGAGCAGACAUUACAGACCCAGGAAGAUAAUACCGUAUGUAAAGGAAGAGUGGUGCUGUUUAUCUUCCAGAACAUAACAUUGAUGACCAUGUUGCAGAGUAGCAGUGUCAUGCAGCAAGACAGCCGUUGGACCCUUGUAAACUGGUUCCAGGGAUGCCGAGUUGCAAUUGAAAGCCACAGAUAAUCCUGGGUGAACUUUUCCACAAUCAUGGAGGAAAACAGAUGUCUGAAAAGAGAAAUCAGAAGAGGAAAUACAUGAGAUUUUAUUCUGAAAGUGCACCAGUUUAAGAUGUGAUUUGCCCAGCAACAAGCGACAUAGCAACUCCCAAGCCUCUAUUCAACACCUCUGUGAAUAAGCUUUCAGAUAUUUUAAUUCUUUUUUUAUUUUAAAUUCUUUUACCAUCACCCGAAUGUGUCCAUGUAAGAUUCUUUUGUUGUUUUAGGAUAAAAGGUUGUUGAGGAUAAUUUAUAUGCUAUGCGA